RNAcentral lists this transfer RNA (72 nucleotides) under Candidatus Altimarinota bacterium. RNAcentral describes it as "tRNA-Glu". It matches the Rfam family "tRNA". From Rfam's summary of the family: Transfer RNA (tRNA) molecules are approximately 80 nucleotides in length. Their secondary structure includes four short double-helical elements and three loops (D, anti-codon, and T loops). Further hydrogen bonds mediate the characteristic L-shaped molecular structure. tRNAs have two regions of fundamental functional importance: the anti-codon, which is responsible for specific mRNA codon recognition, and the 3' end, to which the tRNAs corresponding amino acid is attached (by aminoacyl-tRNA synthetases). tRNAs cope with the degeneracy of the genetic code in two manners: having more than one tRNA (with a specific anti-codon) for a particular amino acid; and 'wobble' base-pairing, i.e. permitting non-standard base-pairing at the 3rd anti-codon position. The record is from RNAcentral. Lineage: Bacteria; Candidatus Altimarinota.
ACGCAAGUAUCUCAGUGGAAGAGGCUUUCCCUUUCAAGGAAAGAGUCGCAGGUUCGAUUCCUGCCUUGCGUU